UACGUAGGGGGCAAGCGUUGUCCGGAAUCAUUGGGCGUAAAGAGCGUGUAGGCGGCUCGAUAAGUCGGCUGUGAAAGUCAAGGGCUCAACCCUUGAAUGCCGGCCGAUACUGUCGAGCUAGAGUCCGGAAGAGGCGAGUGGAAUUCCUGGUGUAGCGGUGAAAUGCGCAGAUAUCAGGAGGAACACCAAUGGCGAAGGCAGCUCGCUGGGACGGUACUGACGCUGAGACGCGAAAGCGUGGGGAGCAAACAGGAUUAGAAACCGGGUAGUCC
Molecule: ribosomal RNA, 272 nt
Filed under: uncultured prokaryote
Description: partial 16S ribosomal RNA
Rfam family: Bacterial small subunit ribosomal RNA
Source: RNAcentral